This is a long non-coding RNA of Cyprinus carpio carpio, 1899 nucleotides long. Lineage: Eukaryota; Metazoa; Chordata; Actinopteri; Cypriniformes; Cyprinidae. The record is from Ensembl.
AAACAGUUGAAAAGAUCGCACUGUACAGUAUUUCUCCUUAUUUUGAUGUAGAGUAUUUGUUUUUAUCUUAGGUCUCACUAAAUCUCCACUUGAGAACUGGAUAACAACGACUGGAUUUGAAGAUGAACCUAAACAGGAACCAAAUCAAACAAAUAGAAUGGAUAGGGGGACUUUUAUAGGGGGAAAAAACAGUGUAUUAAAUGUUACAUUGUCAUACAGUAGAAGAUAUCCUAACAGAAAACGAAUGAGCUCUAGAGGCAGGUCCUGUUUUGUCAUUCCACUGUCUGGUUGUUGCAAGAGGAAACAGUGAAGUAAAAUAAAACUCUGGUGAAUGCCAGAUUAAAAACUCAAGCAGGAAAAGUACAGUAGCAACUGCCUUCAUGUUUCAAGAGGAAACACAGCCAGUCAACUGAGGUAAUAUAAUUCUCUGGUAAAUGCCAGAUUUAAACAAAAAACAGGUGAGUAAUAUUUUAAAGCACCUCUAUUCUCUUUUGUACAACCUAUAGUUUUAUUUGCUACUGUUUAUCUUUAUUUUCUCUUCUCAAAACAAACACGGGUGAGUAAUAUUUUGCAAAGGGUUUUUUUCUGUCUGUUGUUGAACCUGUAGUUUGAAUUGUACUGUGUAUCUUAUUUGCAUUCAGUACAAUAGUGAAGUUCACUGCCUGGAGGUUACAAGAGGAAAUACAACCUUUCAGUCAAGGUAACAUAAACUCUGGUGAAUGCUAGAUUAAAAACACAAUAAAAAUAAAGGAUAUUGAUAUUUUUUGUUGAAGUUGAAGUUCCAGAUCUGCUGGAAGUUUUUUUUUUUGUUUUGUUGUUGUUUGUUUUUUUUUGUUUGUUGUUGUUUGUUUUGUUUUUUUUCAUUUACGUGAUGUUCACUGCUUGGAUGUUGCAAGAGGAAUCAUCUUCUGGGGAAAAAAACAAACAAACAGAUGUAAAAUAUAAAUGUGGUAUGUGACAGAUUAAACACAAAAAAGGGGAAAACAAUCACAGGAAUGGCAACUGCUAGGAUGCUGCAAGAGAAGAUGUCGCCUGUCAAGUGAAGUAAAAUAAACUCUGGUGAAUUCCAGAUUAGAAAUAAAACAGCACAGGGAUGGCAUCAGAAUGUAGUUUUGAAGUGUGAGGAGCCAUCACAUUACCCUAACCAUUCAUUUUACUGUCCACCAGCGAACCUCCUCUUUUAAAAUGCUUUUACUUUCCAAAAUGUUUGAUUAUAACAGGAAUGAUCUGGAGUGAUCUGGGUCAUGCUGGACGCAUUUCUUGUCAGAUCUGUGAGAAGACAGAAGACUGUUUUUGUUUUGUUUUUUUGCGCACACUGGUUCAUUUGACAUCUGAAGUUGGUUCAUUUGAAUGAUGUUGAUGCUGUUUUCUGAGCUCAGGUGCGCAUAUGCAAACUGUUUCUGAAAUAUUUCAGAUCUACCCCUAUUUCAAUUGAAUCGAGUUCAAUGGGAUUGACUGACGAGUUUAUGAAGGUUUUUCAGACUGAAUGAAUCAUCAUUCUGAUUAAUAAUUAGAUUAUUAGGUUGAAUUUAAAUGUAUACAGUGACAAGCCAAAUGCAUGAACCUGAAAUUGAAAUGCCUUAUCUUUAAAAGAAUUUUCAGUGACAGUGUCUGUCUUUCAGAUUCUGUUUACAAACCUCUUUUCAAGAAAUUACACUGUUUAUACAUGUAGGCUACAGUAAAAAUUAUUGGCAGUGCAUUAAGAAAAAAAAACAGAAUUUUUGAAAUCACAUUUGCUUGUCACCUUAUUUCUAAACAUGGUGUUAUGUUUUUGACCAUACAGUUCCAUUUUUAGGUGACCCUUCUUUCCCAAUCUGUACUAAACAUGCCUGUAAAACUGUGCUGAAGCUUUUAGCUGGUAUGUUGGUAUGGUUUUAAUAUUAAAGUCAUGAUUUAAGC